GCAGUCGACGGGAUCCUCAAGCUUGCUUGGUGGUGAGAGUGGCGAACGGGUGAGUAAUGCGUGACCGACCUGCCCCAUGCUCCGGAAUAGCUCCUGGAAACGGGUGGUAAUGCCGGAUGUUCCACAUGAUCGCAUGUGAUUGUGGGAAAGAUUCUAUCGGCGUGGGAUGGGGUCGCGUCCUAUCAGCUUGUUGGUGAGGUAACGGCUCACCAAGGCUUCGACGGGUAGCCGGCCUGAGAGGGCGACCGGCCACAUUGGGACUGAGAUACGGCCCAGACUCCUACGGGAGGCAGCAGUGGGGAAUAUUGCACAAUGGGCGCAAGCCUGAUGCAGCGACGCCGCGUGAGGGAUGGAGGCCUUCGGGUUGUAAACCUCUUUUGUUUGGGAGCAAGCCUUCGGGUGAGUGUACCUUUCGAAUAAGCGCCGGCUAACUACGUGCCAGCAGCCGCGGUAAUACGUAGGGCGCAAGCGUUAUCCGGAUUUAUUGGGCGUAAAGGGCUCGUAGGCGGCUCGUCGCGUCCGGUGUGAAAGUCCAUCGCUUAACGGUGGAUCUGCGCCGGGUACGGGCGGGCUGGAGUGCGGUAGGGGAGACUGGAAUUCCCGGUGUAACGGUGGAAUGUGUAGAUAUCGGGAAGAACACCGAUGGCGAAGGCAGGUCUCUGGGCCGUCACUGACGCUGAGGAGCGAAAGCGUGGGGAGCGAACAGGAUUAGAUACCCUGGUAGUCCACGCCGUAAACGGUGGACGCUGGAUGUGGGGCACGUUCCACGUGUUCCGUGUCGGAGCUAACGCGUUAAGCGUCCCGCCUGGGGGAGUACGGCCGCAAGGCUAAAACUCAAAGAAAUUGACGGGGGGCCCGCACAAGCGGCGGAGCAUGCGGAUUAAUUCGAUGCAACGCGAAGAACCUUACCUGGGCUUGACAUGUUCCCGACGACGCCAGAGAUGGCGUUUCCCUUCGGGGCGGGUUCACAGGUGGUGCAUGGUCGUCGUCAGCUCGUGUCGUGAGAUGUUGGGUUAAGUCCCGCAACGAGCGCAACCCUCGCCCCGUGUUGCCAGCACGUUAUGGUGGGAACUCACGGGGGACCGCCGGGGUUAACUCGGAGGAAGGUGGGGAUGACGUCAGAUCAUCAUGCCCCUUACGUCCAGGGCUUCACGCAUGCUACAAUGGCCGGUACAGCGGGAUGCGACAUGGCGACAUGGAGCGGAUCCCUGAAAACCGGUCUCAGUUCGGAUCGGAGCCUGCAACCCGGCUCCGUGAAGGCGGAGUCGCUAGUAAUCGCGGAUCAGCAACGCCGCGGUGAAUGCGUUCCCGGGCCUUGUACACACCGCCCGUCAAGUCAUGAAAGUGGGCAGCACCCGAAGCCGGUGGCCUAACCCCUUGUGGGAGGAGCCGUCUAAGGUGAGGCUCCGAGUUUC
RNAcentral lists this ribosomal RNA (1415 nucleotides) under Bifidobacterium bifidum. Its description in RNAcentral is "bacterial SSU rRNA". It matches the Rfam family "Bacterial small subunit ribosomal RNA". The record is from RNAcentral. Lineage: Bacteria; Bacillati; Actinomycetota; Actinomycetes; Bifidobacteriales; Bifidobacteriaceae.